GAUGAACGCUGACAGAAUGCUUAACACAUGCAAGUCUUUGGCGAAGCUGUGCUUGCACAGCCUAGCCAAGGCGGACGGGUGAGUAACGCGUAAGGAACUUGCCCUGCAGUCAGGGAUAACAGACGGAAACGACUGAUAAGACCUGGUAAAGUCAGGCGGACUCAUGUCCAGCCUGAUGAAAAGUGAUGCUGCAGGAGAGCCUUGCGUCCUAUUAGCUUGUUGGUGGGGUAACGGCCCACCAAGGCGAUGAUAGGUAGCCGGCCUGAGAGGGUGGACGGCCACAAGGGGACUGAGAUACGGCCCUUACUCCUACGGGAGGCAGCAGUGGGGAAUAUUGGACAAUGGGGGCAACCCUGAUCCAGCAAUUCUGUGUGCACGAUGAAGGUUUUCGGAUUGUAAAGUGCUUUCAACAGGGAAGAAAAAAAUGACGGUGCCUGCAGAAGAAGCGACGGCUAAAUACGUG
RNAcentral lists this ribosomal RNA (463 nucleotides) under uncultured bacterium. RNAcentral describes it as "partial 16S ribosomal RNA". It matches the Rfam family "Bacterial small subunit ribosomal RNA", at positions 28 to 507 of the family's 1533-position model. The record is from RNAcentral.